AAUCCUACCUAGAAAGUUGUACCCACAACAUCUAGUAACGAGUCUUGGAGCGAAGUUGGUAACAAUUAGUUUAAGCGUAGACAGUUAGGUAUUAGGGUUAGUAUUGAGCCCCGAAAUUCCGAUAGAAAUCGGGUGGCAGAUGUUCUCUUAAUGACAGAAUGCAAUAUCUAUAAAUAUGCAAAUGGGUUAUAUUUAUAGACACCUGCGGGGUCUGAAA
Molecule: non-coding RNA, 217 nt
Filed under: bovine gut metagenome
Source: RNAcentral